GGUCAAGCGAACAAGGGCGCAGGGCGAAUGCCUUGGCACUGGGAGCCGAUGAAAGACGUGAUAAGCUGCGAUAAGCUUCGGGGAGCUGCAAAUAAGCAUUGAUCCGGAGAUUUCUGAAUGAGGAAACUCACCUGGGUUCAUACUCAGGUACGUUAUACUGAACUUAAAAAUAGGUAUAUCGAGGGAACCGCCUGAACUGAAACAUCUAAGUAGGGCGAGGAAGAGACAUCAAACGAGAUUCCGUAAGUAGUGGCGAGCGAACGCGGAAGAGGGCAAACCGGGAGUAGAAAUACUUCCGGGGUACGGACCGCAUUUAGGACUUGAGUUGUUAACCGAACGGCAUGGGAAGGCCGGUCAGAGAGUGUGAGAACCACGUAGGUGAAAACGACAAGAGCUGAGCGAGUUCCAGAGUACGGCCAGACACGUGAAACCUGGUCGGAAUACGGGGGGACCACCCUCCAACCCUAAAUACUACCCAGUGACCGAUAGCGUAUAGUACUGUGAAGGAAAGGUGAAAAGCACCCCGGGAGGGGAGUGAAAAAGAACCUGAAACCCUGUGCCUACAAGCACCUAGAGCACGUCAAUGUGUGAUAGGGUACUUUUUGUAGAACGGUCCGGCGAGCGAUUGUAUGCAGCAAGGUUAAGGACUUAAGGUCUGGAGCCGAAGCGAAAGCGAGUUUGAAAAGGGCGUUAAGUUGCAUACAAUGGGCCCGAAACCGGGUGACCUACCCAUGGUCAGGUUGAAGUGGAAGUAAAAUUCCAUGGAGGACCGAACCGACCUCCGUUGAAAAGGCGGCGGAUGAACUGUGGGUAGCGGAGAAAUUCCAAUCGAACCCGGAGAUAGCUGGUUCUCCCGAAAUAGUUUUAGGACUAGCCUCAAGUUAGAUACCUGGAGGUAAAGCACUGAAUAGCCUAGCGGCCGAGAGGUUAGCGAAGCUUAUCAAACUCAGAAUGCCAGAGUAUUGAUGCUUGGGAGUCAGACAGUGUCAGAUAAAUGUCAUUGUCAAAAGGGAAACAGCCCAGAUCUACAGCUAAGGUCCCAAAGUCAGGUUAAGUGGAAAACGAUGUGAAGAUACGUAGACAACCAGGAUGUUGGCUCAGAAGCAGCCACACAUUCAAAGAGUGCGUAAUAGCUCACUGGUCGAGCGUCUUUGCGCGGAGAAUUUAACGGGGCUAAACCUGACACCGAAGCUUAGGCAAUACAGUAAUGUAUUGGGUAGGGGAGCGUUGUAUACGCGGUGAAACAGUAGCGCAAGCGGCUGUGGAGUGUAUAGAAGUGAGAAUGCCGGAAUGAGUAGCGCGAAUGCAGUGAGAAUCUGCAUGGCCGAAAGCCUCAGGUUUCUGGAGGAAGGUUCGUCCGCUCCAGGUUAGUCGGGAGCUAAGGUGAGGCCUAACGGCGUAGCCGAUGCACAGACGGUAGAGAUUCCGUCACCACCAAAAGAGUUAAACACAGGGACACAUUUGAAGUCUCGGAGCCGGGUGUUGGUUCCGGUAGCGAUCGAGGGAAAUUAGUACCGAAGUCCGGGAUGGAAGAUGGCGAGAAAAGCUGUGUGUAUUUCUGCGGUGCCCGUACCGCAAACCGACACAGGUAGGUAGGAAGAAGAUUCUAAGGCCAACGGGAGAAGGGUUGUUAAGGAACUCGGCAAAUUGACCCCGUAACUUCGGGAGAAGGGGUGCUCUAGAGAUGGAGCCGCAGAGAAUCGGCCCAAGCAACUGUUUACCAAAAACACAGGUUUGUGCUAAAUCGAAAGAUGACGUAUACGAGCUGACGCCUGCCCGGUGCUGGAAGGUUAAGAGGAGAUGUGCAAGCAUUGAAUCGAAGCCCCAGUGAACGGCGGCCGUAACUAUAACGGUCCUAAGGUAGCGAAAUUCCUUGUCAGGUAAGUUCUGACCCGCAUGAAAGGCGUAAUGAUUUGGGCACUGUCUCAACAGCCCGCCCGGCGAAAUUGUAGUACCGGUGAAGAUGCCGGUUACCCGCGACAAGACGGAAAGACCCCAUGGAGCUUUACUGUAGCCUAAUAUUGGGUUUCGAUGUUGCAUGCACAGGAUAGAUGGGACACUGGGAAGCAAGAGCUUUGGCUUUUGUGGAGUGGCCGUUGGGAUACCAUCCUUGCGAUAUUGGAAUUCUAACCUGCGCCUUUGAAUCAAGGCGGGGGACAUUGUUAGGUGGGCAGUUUGACUGGGGCGGUCGCCUCUUAAAGAGUAACGGAGGCGUUCAAAGGUUCGCUCAGCUUGAACGGAAAUCAAGCAAAAGAGUGCAAACGCAGAAGCGAGCCUAACUGCGAGACUGACGGGUCGAGCAGUAACGAAAGUUGGAGUUAGUGAUCCGGUGGUAUGUGAGUGGAAAUGCCAUCGCUCAACGGAUAAAAGUUACCCUGGGGAUAACAGGCUGAUCUCCCCCAAGAGUCCACAUCGACGGGGAGGUUUGGCACCUCGAUGUCGGCUCAUCGCAUCCUGGGGCUGUAUUCGGUCCCAAGGGUUUGGCUGUUCGCCAAUUAAAGCGGUACGCGAGCUGGGUUCAGAACGUCGUGAGACAGUUCGGUCCCUAUCUGUCGUGGGCGCAGGAUAUUUGAUGGGAGCUGUUCCUAGUACGAGAGGACCGGAGCGGACGUACCUCUGGCGCACCAGUUGUUCUGCCAAGGGCAUAGCUGGGCAACUAUGUACGGAUCGGAUAAACGCUGAAAGCAUCUAAGCGUGAAGCCGACCCAAAGAUAAGAUAUCCCAUUGUUUCAAACAAGUAAGACCCCUUGAAGACUACAAGGUUGAUAGGCACGAUGUGUAAGUGGAGCGAUCCAUUCAGCAAGCGUGUACUAAUAGGUCGAGGGUUUGACCAC
RNAcentral lists this ribosomal RNA (2834 nucleotides) under Faecalibacterium sp. I3-3-33. RNAcentral describes it as "Faecalibacterium sp. I3333 23S ribosomal RNA". It matches the Rfam family "Bacterial large subunit ribosomal RNA". The record is from RNAcentral. Lineage: Bacteria; Bacillati; Bacillota; Clostridia; Eubacteriales; Oscillospiraceae.